Cygnus olor (mute swan) is the source of this 383-nucleotide long non-coding RNA. RefSeq lists it as uncharacterized. The transcript has 3 exons. NCBI's taxonomy places the organism in Eukaryota, Metazoa, Chordata, Aves, Anseriformes, Anatidae. The record is from RefSeq and is a predicted model, not a curated record.
UGUGAUGCGUUGCCUGUCCCCUGCUUGUCUGGCUAGCGAUUGUUAGGUGUUUUGCAAGUGGCUUGUCAUGAAUAGUGGGUGUGUCUUCUCCUCCCUCUAUAAGGGCCAAAGGGUGUCAGUGGGAGGCAGAGUGUUGGAGACGGGAGACGGCAGAUGGUACUGCAACUGGCAGUGUCAGAAUAGGAGAAGGAGGAGGCGGUGGUGGUGAAGGAGGCUCUGGCGGAGGAGGAGGCGGAGGACAAGGAGGAGGAGGCGGUGGAAAAGGAGAAAGAGGCGGUGGACGAGGAGGAAGAGGCAGUGUACAAGGCCAAAGGGUGUCAGUGGGAGGCAGAGUGUUGGAGACGGGAGACGGCAGAUGGUACUGCAACUGGCAGUGUCAGAAU